AAGAAAUCAAAAUCUAAAACUGAAUCAAGAGAAACAAGAAGGUCUGGCAUGUAAUUCAAAUAUGAGUUGCACAGACGAAAUAGAUCAAUCCAUAAAAACGAAAAGAAAAAAAAUCGUGAACAUCAAGAGAGGACAGAGGCAUACCGUGAACAGGAAAUUGAAGGGUCGUCGGAGCAGCUUCGGUGAGGAGCGUUAUCGGAGCGCAACUGGAAUGAAGAUUGAAGGAGGUUCGUCGAAGCUUAAAUAGGCUCGACAGAUCGAGGGUGGCCUGAUUUUGGGAGAAUCGGCCAUGCCUCUGUCUUCCUGCAGGCGCGUCGACGUCUGCUCGACGAAUCAGGAACCGGAUGGGUUUUCCCCCAGAUCGGUAUGGCCUCUGAGAGUGUUCGCGGAUCGUCCUCUCUUGGCAUCCUAUCGUCGCAGCAAUCCGUCCCGGGGAACACCACGCGCGGCCGUGCACUGACGAAUUUUUGACGCAAAACGAAUAUUGUCAGCAACGUACGGGGAAAAUUCGUCAGGAGUACCCAUACCUCUCACUGUUACCUUGUGGAUCCGCGCCAAUUCGAAUUGCCAAUGACGUUCACCUCCCCGCGUACGUGAGGUACUCGACGAGGACCGUGGGAUGACGGAGCACGACCAUCGCGCGGAGCAUCCGCAUUAAUACGUCAAUGAGGACGAGUGCAUGGAAAAUGUGGUGUUUUUAAAUAUGAACACAAGACAAAACACGAUAGAUUAAAAGUCAUUUAAACUUCUGGAGACAAUUUACAUUGAUGCUUAAUGAAUAAGAUCAUUUAUGGUCUUAAACAAGCAUCUAAGUCUUGGUAUUCCAGACUAAGUGUUUUUCUGAUUUUAAAUGAUUUUAAAAAUAAUCUGCCAGACACAU
Molecule: long non-coding RNA, 880 nt
Filed under: Zostera marina
Lineage: Eukaryota; Viridiplantae; Streptophyta; Magnoliopsida; Alismatales; Zosteraceae
Description: long non-coding RNA (ZMAR_LNC002071)
Source: RNAcentral